This 468-nucleotide ribosomal RNA is filed under the name uncultured bacterium. RNAcentral's name for it is "partial 16S ribosomal RNA". It matches the Rfam family "Bacterial small subunit ribosomal RNA", at positions 28 to 507 of the family's 1533-position model. The record is from RNAcentral.
GACGAACGCUGGCGGCGUGCUUAACACAUGCAAGUCGAACGGAAAGGCCCUGCUUUUGUGGGGUGCUCGAGUGGCGAACGGGUGAGUAACACGUGAGUAACCUGCCCUUGACUUUGGGAUAACUUCAGGAAACUGGGGCUAAUACCGGAUAGGAGCUCCUGCUGCAUGGUGGGGGUUGGAAAGUUUCGGCGGUUGGGGAUGGACUCGCGGCUUAUCAGCUUGUUGGUGGGGUAGUGGCUUACCAAGGCUUUGACGGGUAGCCGGCCUGGGAGGGUGACCGGCGACAUUGGGACUGAGAUACGGCCCAGACUCCUACGGGAGGCAGCAGUGGGGAAUAUUGCACAAUGGGCGGAAGCCUGAUGCAGCAACGCCGCGUGCGGGAUGACGGCCUUCGGGUGGUAAACCGCUUUCGCCUGUGACGAAGCGUGAGUGACGGUAAUGGGUAAAGAAGCACCGGCUAACUACGUG